Molecule: non-coding RNA, 2642 nt
Organism: Gasterosteus aculeatus aculeatus (three-spined stickleback)
Lineage: Eukaryota; Metazoa; Chordata; Actinopteri; Perciformes; Gasterosteidae
Source: RefSeq, a predicted model, not a curated record
UAGUCUAGGGAUCAAUUGAGACCUCGAGACCGACUGCUUCCAAUUCAGCGUCUCCGAUGAGAAGAGACCAUACACUCGACGGGGUGUCUUGUCAACAAUCAACAGCCUCUACGAUCCUCUAGGGUUUGUAGCGCCAGUCACAAUACAAGGCAAGGCUAUUCUGAGAGAGCUAACAACUGAGAAAGGUGACUGGGACUCGCCUUUGCCUCGAGAAAUGGAGGAAUCAUGGACAUCGUGGAGAACAUCCUUAACAGAACUGUCCCAGCUGUCUACACUACAACUUCCCCCGCAACAGCUGUCAGAAGGGAAUUGUGCGUAUUUUCUGACGCAUCCACAAAAGCUAUUGCCGCUGUGGCAUACCUAAAAGUAACUGACUCUGCUGGAAAUAACUAUGUCGGAUUUGUAAUGGGCAAAGCCAAGCUGGCCCCCCGUCCUGAGCAAACAAUUCCGAGACUGGAGUGGAGUUAGCAGACCUAAUCUCGACAGAAUUAGACCUUCAGCUCGAUGCUACAACCUUCCACUCAGACAGCAAGGUGGUCCUUGGCUACAUUUCUAAUGAAACCAGGCGCUUUUAUGUGUAUGUAAGUAACCGGGUAUUGCGUAUCCGAAGAUCCUCUCGCCCAGAUCAAUGGCGCUAUGUGUCAACAGAACAGAACCCCGCAGACCACGCUACACGUGCUGUCACUGCAGGCCGUUUGAAUGACACAAACUGGCUGAGCGGGCCCAAAUCUCUGUACACACCGGAGACCAGUACCUCAGAGAGCACCCAUGAACUUGUGGACCCGAGUGCAGACUCAGACAUUCGCCCUCUGGUAUCCACUUUGAGCACUACGACAACAUCCAACCAGCUCGGUUCUCAGCGAUUCGCAAGGUUCUCAUCCUGGAAGUCGCUAACUCGGGCCAUUAUUCGCCUCAUACACAUAGCUCGCCUUUUCAACAGGACCUUGAAGAACAGCCUUUGUAAGGGCUGGCAUCACUGCAAAACAGGAUUCAAUUUUGAGGAGUCUAAUCAAGCAUCGCACAUCAUCAUUCGAGCAGUACAGGAGGAAGCCUACAGUCAAGAGAUCAAAUGUGUCCAAAAACAUGAGCAGAUCCCUAAAGGUAGUCCUCUCAAAAAUCUGGAUCCUUUCAUUGAUGCACUCGGCCUUCUGAGAGUCGGAGGCCGCCUCCACAAUGCAAACCUUGUUCAGAGCGAGAAGACCCCAGUGAUCAUUCCUGGCAAACAUCAGGUUGCAACCUUACUCAUCAAGCAUCACCACGAACAAAUCUAUCACCAAGGUCGUCUGUUUACGGAGGGGGCCGUCCGUACAGCUGGCUUUUGGAUAGUUGGUGGCAAAAGAAAGGUGAGCAACAUCAUCCACCAGUGUAUAACCUGCAGAAGGCUUAGAGCCCCACAAAAGAUGGCCAGUCUUCCAGCAGACAGUCUCUCAACAGAACCUCCCUUUACGAAUGUUGGGCUUGAUGUGUUCGGCCCUUGGAGUGUCUCUUCACGUAGAACAAGAGGAGGCCACUCACACAGUAAACGAUGGGCCGUAAUCUUCACGUGCAUGAGUGUACGAGCGGUUCAUAUUGAAGUCAUAGAAUCCCUUGACACAUCCAGCUUCGUCAACGCGCUAAGGCGCUUUCUUGCUGUGCGCGGCCCUGUCAAACACAUCCGCUCGGACCGUGGCACCAACUUUGUAGGCGCCUGCCGGGAGUUGAAAAUACCCUCAAACAUUGACAACACAACUGUGAAGACUUACCUGUUAGGUCAAGGUUGCUCGUGGACCUUUAACCCUCCGCACGCCUCCCAUUUUGGCGGUUCGUGGGAAAGAAUGAUUGGUCUUGCAAGGAGAAUCCUGGACGCCAUGUUCCUUCAGCUGAAGGACAAACUUACCCACGAGGUGCUGGUGACUUUCAUGGCAGAAGUUACAGCCAUUAUAAAUGGCAGACCUCUUGUUCCUGUGACAACCGACUCUGAGAAUCCAUUUAUACUCACUCCAGUUGCCCUUCUCACGCAAAAGGUGAAUGUCUUGACUGCCCCUACUGGAGUUUCAGACCUCUACAAGCGCCAGUGGCGACAGGUCCAGCACCUGUCUAACACCUUCUGGGACAGAUGACGAAAGCAAUAUCUCCCGACACUACAGGCAUGCAAGAAGUGGCAUUCCGCUCAUCCAAACAUCAGCCCAGGAAGUGUUGUUAUCCUCAAGGAUAGUCAAGCACCAAGAAAUGAAUGGCCUCUUGGACUGGUAACACAGGCGUUCCCCAGCGAGGACGGGAAGGUACGAAAGGUCGAGAUCAAGGUCGCACGAACAGGGGUGACUAAACUCUUUCUUAGGCCUGUUUCUGAGAUAGUGCUUCUUUUCCCCCCAGAGGCCUAGUGGAGUGAACUGUCUAGGAUUUAUUGGGUGGCGUGUAUUCACGCCAAGCGGGGAGUGUUUUGUCACAAACGUUAAAUCAAUGCUAUGUUUUAUUUUGAAAACAGGAAAUGUGAUGUAAUUUGUCAGGUGACAGGAACCAGGAAGUCAGUGAAGAAUAUGGCUCAGAACUGCUGUUUGUAUUGGUAGCUUUUCAAUCCAGUUGAGUCUGCCUGCAUCCUAUACCUUUUUGAUAGCAUCGUUGUUUUACUCUUUCUCAUGUCAAUAAACCUGUGGACAACGGAC